This 1233-nucleotide ribosomal RNA is filed under the name Alburnus tarichi (tarek). RNAcentral describes it as "partial large subunit ribosomal RNA". It matches the Rfam family "Bacterial large subunit ribosomal RNA", at positions 698 to 2572 of the family's 2925-position model. The record is from RNAcentral. Lineage: Eukaryota; Metazoa; Chordata; Actinopteri; Cypriniformes; Leuciscidae.
AGACCUUUAGUUUGAACCCCGAAACCAGGUGAGCUACCCCGAGACAGCCUAUAUUGAUUUAGGGCUAACCCGUCUCUGUGGCAAAAGAGUGGGAAGAGCUCCGGGUAGAAGUGACAGACCUACCGAACCUGGUGAUAGCUGGUUGCCUGAGAAGUGGAUAGAAGUUCAGCCUCGCACACCCCAAGCCAGAAAAUACACCGCUAAGGCACUCAGGGAAAUGUGGGAGAGUUAGUUAAAGGGGGUACAGCCCCUUUAACAAAGGAUACAACCUUUGCAGGAGGAUAAAGAUCAUAAUAUAUAAAACAUGCUGCUCUAGUGGGCCUAAAGGCAGCCACCUAAACAGAAAGCGUUAAAGCUCAGGCAGAAAGAAGUUUAUUAUACCGAUAAAAAAUCUUACUCCCCUAAUUAUAUCAGGCCAACCCAUGCCAACAUGGAAGAGAUUAUGCUAAAAUGAGUAACAAGAAGACCUGCUCUUCUCCCAGCACAAGUGUAAGCCAGAUCGGACUAGCCGCUGGAACUUAACGAACCCAACCCAAGAGGGUAGUGUGAAUAGUACAGACCCCAAGAAGAACUCACAACUAAACAAUCGUUAACCCCACACUGGAGUGCUAUUAUAAAGGAAAGACUAAAAGAGGGGGAAGGAACUCGGCAAACACAAGCCUCGCCUGUUUACCAAAAACAUCGCCUCCUGCAACUAUAUUGAGUAUAGGAGGUCCAGCCUGCCCAGUGACUACGGGUUCAACGGCCGCGGUAUUUUGACCGUGCAAAGGUAGCGCAAUCACUUGUCUCUUAAAUAGAGACCUGUAUGAAUGGCUAGACGAGGGCUUAACUGUCUCCCCCCUCCAGUCAGUGAAAUUGAUCUAUCCGUGCAGAAGCGGGUAUAAUUAUACAAGACGAGAAGACCCUUUGGAGCUUAAGGUACAAAAUCCAACCACGUUAAACGACCCCCUAAAGGGCAAGAACUUAGUGGCCAAUGAAGUUUUACCUUCGGUUGGGGCGACCACGGAGGAGAAAAAAGCCUCCGAGUGGACUGGGUUAAAACCCAAAGCUAAGAGAUACAUCUCUAAGCCGCAGAACAUCUGACCAAAAGUGAUCCGGCUAAAAAGCCGAUCAACGAACCAAGUUACCCUAGGGAUAACAGCGCAAUCCUCUCCCAGAGUCCAUAUCGACGAGGGGGUUUACGACCUCGAUGUUGGAUCAGGACAUCCUAAUGGUGCAGCCGCUAUUAAGGGU